This 253-nucleotide ribosomal RNA is filed under the name uncultured microorganism. RNAcentral describes it as "partial small subunit ribosomal RNA". It matches the Rfam family "Bacterial small subunit ribosomal RNA", at positions 524 to 776 of the family's 1533-position model. The record is from RNAcentral.
UACGUAGGUGGCGAGCGUUGUCCGGAAUCAUUGGGCGUAAAGAGCGCGUAGGUGGCUUGUCAGGUCUGAUGUGAAAACCUGGGGCUUAACUCCAGGCCUGCAUCGGAAACCGGCUUGCUAGAGUCUGGGAGAGGAGAGUGGAAUUCCUGGUGUAGCGGUGAAAUGCGUAGAUAUCAGGAGGAACACCGGUAGCGAAGGCGGCUCUCUGGAACAGUACUGACGCUGAGGCGCGAAAGCUAGGGGAGCGAACAGG